UACGUAGGUGGCAAGCGUUGUCCGGAUUUACUGGGCGUAAAGAGCGCGCAGGCGGUCGUUCAAGUCGCGUGUGAAAGCCCCCGGCUCAACUGGGGAGGGUCACGCGAUACUGAUCGACUCGAAGGCAGGAGAGGGUAGUGGAAUUCCCGGUGUAGUGGUGAAAUGCGCAGAUAUCGGGAAGAACACCUAUGGCGAAGGCAGCUCUCUGGGACGGUACUGACGCUGAGACGCGAAAGCGUGGGGAGCAAACAGG
This 253-nucleotide ribosomal RNA is filed under the name uncultured bacterium. RNAcentral's name for it is "partial 16S ribosomal RNA". It matches the Rfam family "Bacterial small subunit ribosomal RNA", at positions 524 to 776 of the family's 1533-position model. The record is from RNAcentral.